Molecule: transfer RNA, 85 nt
Filed under: Candidatus Pelagibacter communis
Lineage: Bacteria; Pseudomonadati; Pseudomonadota; Alphaproteobacteria; Candidatus Pelagibacterales; Candidatus Pelagibacteraceae
Description: tRNA-Leu
Rfam family: tRNA
About the family: Transfer RNA (tRNA) molecules are approximately 80 nucleotides in length. Their secondary structure includes four short double-helical elements and three loops (D, anti-codon, and T loops).
Source: RNAcentral
GUCAGUGUGUUGGAACUGGUAGACAAGACGGACUCAAAAUCCGUUGCUUCACGGCGUGAGAGUUCGAGUCUCUCCACUGAUACCA